Non-coding RNA from Elaeis guineensis (African oil palm), 975 nucleotides. NCBI's taxonomy places the organism in Eukaryota, Viridiplantae, Streptophyta, Magnoliopsida, Arecales, Arecaceae. The record is from RefSeq and is a predicted model, not a curated record.
GAGAGAGAGAGAAUCUGCAGGGAAAAUCAUUUCAGGUACUGACUACAUGGGCAUUACUAGAAAUAUAUGGUUUAUGAUAUGUUUUCUUCUAGGGACAAGAUGGAUGAGGCUCAUGGAAGGACCAGACAACACAUGUUGACAUAGUUCAGUCUUGGUCAUGAUCUGCAUAUUUAUCCUCAGGGCCUGUUUGGUUGGGGAUAAUCUAGCAUGGGAAAAUGAUUCCCAUAUCAGAUUACCAUGUUUGGUAUAAAAAUGGGAAGAGAGAGAUGGUAAAAAAAUUGAUGGGUCCCAUGCUUAUUUUCUGGAGAGAGAAGGUAAAACAAAUACCAUGAGGAGUUGGUGUUUGAUAAAUUCCCGAGUAAUAGGAAUCUAUACUUGACAAAAAUACCCUCAAUGGGUCAUAGGUGCUAGAUAUUUCUCCCAAGGAUUUCCAAAUUAGUUCAGUCCCUUCUUUCCAUGAGAAAAGGGGAAAUCCUAAUCUUGACACCUUGCUAUCUUUCUCAAAUCCAUCCAUCAUCUAACGAAUCUUUGCUGGUUCAGUCUGGACGCCCUUCCUUGUUACUUGAUUUGGGGAUUUUUCAUCGAAGAAGCCAUAUUUUCUUUGUUCUCCGGCUCGAAGUUUGCUGCAAAUCCGCAAUCCAAAGACUUGGAGCAACUGGAGCUGGGGAGGUAAAUUUCAUUUCUUUUAUUCAAACUUCGAUAGUCAUGCUCUAAAUCUUUGAUACAAGUUUAACCAUUAGGGCAGGUGAACUCCCAUCCUUUCUUCAAAAACAUGAACUGGGAUAUGAUCGCUAAGCAGAAGGUUAUGUAACUGAAAUUCAGUUGCACCACAAUAUGUUCAGGCAAGGUUCGUGGACUCGGUACUAGAAUUUGUGCCGGUUGCCGACUGGUAUGAUACCGUGCCGUACCAUACUGAAUACUAAAAAAUCAAAAAAAAAUCCCACUCAACAGCACAAAAAAAAGAAAAAAAGAAAA